Long non-coding RNA from Schistocerca serialis cubense, 745 nucleotides. RefSeq lists it as uncharacterized. The record is from RefSeq and is a predicted model, not a curated record. Lineage: Eukaryota; Metazoa; Arthropoda; Insecta; Orthoptera; Acrididae. The transcript is spliced from 3 exons.
GUGAAAGUAUUGAUAUUGUGCGAUAUUGAGAAUCAUUUCGCAAAUUACCACACAGUACCACAGGAGCUCAUAUUUUGAAUACGGGUUCUAACCACGUUGUUGCGCCUUCACAAGUAUCUGAACUACAUUCAUUACGCGACUACUGGAUGCUCUAUGUACCCAUCCACAUUUAGAAGAGGUAGUCAUGAAGAUUCAAAAUGACUCUUGAAGAAUUCGCACGCACGAGAUGCGAGAGCCUUCUGUUGCAUGCCGUGAGCCACAGCCACAGCACAAUCAUCAAGAGCGGCCUCCCACAAAAAGAAGGAAAGGUACAACAGACGUCAUUGUGGAGGCCACCGGGACACUGAAAGCUGUGGCUGAUAUGGCCGGAACUCUGCCCCAGCCUGUCCAAGGAGACCAAUACAGUGCCCUUGCCACCCACAUUGCAGCUGAACUGCGUGAGAUGGAUAAUGUGGGUAGUAAGAAAUUUACAACUGCCACAAGUCACGGUUUGCAGUGGUAUUUGAUGGACAGGUGGGAUUUACUGCAUUUGACAACACAACAAGCACGACCAUCCACCUCUGGGUAUAUCCAGGCUGCCUUGCAGCAGGCUGGUAUAGAAGAGAAUACCGUAUAAUUUUUUUGUAGCUCUCCAAUCUUCUUAAUUUAUUUUUGUACUCAGGAUGCCUCAUGUUGUAAAACACCUAAUCGGCCUCAUACAUCUCUAUUAAUUUUGUAGUUUCGGACACCAAUUGGUACAUGCUGU